GAACGCUGGCGGCGUGCUUAACACAUGCAAGUCGAACGAACCUUCGGGUUAGAGGCGGACGGGUGAGUAACGCGUGAGAAUCUGCCCUCAGGAGGGGGAUAACGGUUGGAAACGACCGCUAAUACCCCAUAUGCCGAGAGGUGAAAUGAAAUUCCCCUGAGGAUGAGCUCGCGUCUGAUUAGCUAGUUGGUAGGGUAAAGGCCUACCAAGGCAUUGAUCAGUAGCUGGUCUGACAGGAUGAUCAGCCACACUGGGACUGAGACACGGCCCAGACUCCUACGGGAGGCAGCAGUGGGGAAUUUUCCGCAAUGGGCGCAAGCCUGACGGAGCAACGCCGCGUGAGGGAUGAAGGCCUCUGGGCUGUAAACCUCUUUUAUCAAGGAAGAAGAACUGACGGUACUUGAUGAAUAAGCCACGGCUAAUUCCGUGCCAGCAGCCGCGGUAAUACGGGAGUGGCAAGCGUUAUCCGGAAUUAUUGGGCGUAAAGCGUCCGCAGGCGGUUUUACAAGUCUGUCGUUAAAGCGUGGAGCUCAACUCCAUUUCAGCGAUGGAAACUGUAAGACUCGAGUGUGGUAGGGGCAGAGGGAAUUCCCGGUGUACCGGUGAAAUGCGUAUAUAUCGGGAAGAACACCAGUGGCGAAGGCGCUCUGCUGGGCCAUAACUGACGCUCAUGGACCAAUGCCAGGGGAGCGAAAGGGAUUAGAUACCCCUGUAGUCCUGGCCGUAAACGAUGAACACUACGUGUCGGGGGAAUCGACCCCCUCGGUGUCGUAGCCAACGCGUUAAGUGUUCCGCCUCGGGAGUACGCACGCAAGUGUGAAGCUCAAAGGAACUGACGGGGGGCUCCGCACCAGCAGGAGGGAGUAUGUGGUGUAAUUCGAUGCAGCGCG
RNAcentral lists this ribosomal RNA (890 nucleotides) under uncultured bacterium. RNAcentral's name for it is "bacterial SSU rRNA". It matches the Rfam family "Bacterial small subunit ribosomal RNA", at positions 31 to 963 of the family's 1533-position model. The record is from RNAcentral.